GCGGUAGCAGGAGGUGCUUGCACCUUGCUGACGAGCGGCGGACGGGUGAGUAAAGCGUAGAUAUCUGCCUUUUAGUGGAGGACAACCUGGGGAAACUCAGGCUAAUACUGCAUAAUCUCUACGGAGCAAAGCGGGGCUCUUCUACCCUCGCGCUAAAAGAUGAGUCUACGUCUGAUUAGCUAGUUGGUGGGGUAACGGCCUACCAAGGCGACGAUCAGUAGCUGGUCUGAGAGGAUGAUCAGCCACAUCGGGACUGAGACACGGCCCGGACUCCUACGGGAGGCAGCAGUGGGGAAUAUUGGACAAUGGGCGCAAGCCUGAUCCAGCCAUGCCGCGUGUGUGAAGAAGGCUUUCGGGUUGUAAAGCACUUUCAGUGAGGAGGAAGGCCUUAAGGUUAAUACCCUUGAGGAUUGACGUUACUCACAGAAGAAGCACCGGCUAACUCCGUGCCAGCAGCCGCGGUAACACGGAGGGUGCAAGCGUUAAUCGGAAUUACUGGGCGUAAAGCGCGCGUAGGCGGUUUGUUAAGCGGGUUGUGAAAUCCCCGGGCUUAACCUGGGAAUGGCAAUCCGAACUGGCAGGCUGGAGUGUGGUAGAGGGUAGUGGAAUUUCCGGUGUAGCGGUGAAAUGCGUAGAUAUCGGAAGGAACACCAGUGGCGAAGGCGGCUACCUGGACCAACACUGACGCUGAGGUACGAAAGCGUGGGGAGCAAACAGGAUUAGAUACCCUGGUAGUCCACGCUGUAAACGAUGAGAACUAGCCGUUGGGGAUCUUGAAUCUUUAGUGGCGCAGCUAACGCACUAAGUUCUCCGCCUGGGGAGUACGGCCGCAAGGUUAAAACUCAAAUGAAUUGACGGGGGCCCGCACAAGCGGUGGAGCAUGUGGUUUAAUUCGACGCAACGCGAAGAACCUUACCUGGCCUUGACAUGCUGCGAACUUCCCAGAGAUGGGAGGGUGCCUUCGGGAGCGCAGACACAGGUGCUGCAUGGCCGUCGUCAGCUCGUGUCGUGAGAUGUUGGGUUAAGUCCCGUAACGAGCGCAACCCUUAUCCCUAGUUACCAGCACUUCGGGUGGGCACUUUAGGGAGACUGCCGGUGACAAACCGGAGGAAGGUGGGGAUGACGUCAGGUCAUCAUGGCCCUUACGGCCAGGGCUACACACGUGCUACAAUGGCGCGCACAGAGGGCUGCUAAGCCGCGAGGUGGAGCUAAUCUCUCAAAACGCGUCGUAGUCCGGAUUGCAGUCUGCAACUCGACUGCAUGAAGUCGGAAUCGCUAGUAAUCGCGAAUCAG
Molecule: ribosomal RNA, 1293 nt
Filed under: uncultured bacterium
Lineage: Bacteria
Description: bacterial SSU rRNA
Rfam family: Bacterial small subunit ribosomal RNA
Source: RNAcentral